UGCUUGCCCCCUGCCACAGCUAGUGAUUGUUCUAAUCCUUUGGUUCCACCUGCUAGUUUAUUAAAGGGAAACAUCUGCCCUCAUGAUGGUUGUUAACCUGAGGGGCUGUAAGGGACAUGCGCCAGCUGGUUUCCCUGGUAACUGAUGAGCCAACCUGACAUCAAUUCCCCCUAUAAAUGGUAGCCUCCUUCUUCCCCAAGCAGUAAAGAUGGCUGCUGUGGCUUGUCUGCUGUACGUGUGGGGCAUUGCACCAGGACCCUUAUUUCAGACAGCUAUGGCAAUGGUCAGAGCAACGAUACAGUGUGAGCGAACAACAGCUAUAUGCAGUCUACAAUGCAUUACAACAGGUGGAAGACAUAAAAGGCCUACGUAAGUCAUCGAGCAAUGCAAAAAACCCACUAUUCAGGGUCUAGAAGAGCUGUGCACGACAUACAGGACUCCCAUCGACAUUGAUAGUGACCAAGGAACCCACUUUACCCACCACAAAGUGCAGGAAUGGGCCUCUAAAAAUGACAGAUGCUGGCAUUUCCACCUGCCCUACAACUCCACUGCUGCUGGGCUAACUGAAAGGAUGAAAGGACUACUUAAACAACAAUUGAGAUGCGAAAUCUAUAACCGAACAUUCCAGGAGCAAUCAUCCCAGUGCCUACGCCACGUUAACCCAGAGACAACUAGUCAACACCAUCCAAGUUCAACUGUUGACCACCAAAGGACCGCUGCCGAUUGAUUAUAGUAUUUGACAUCAACUGUGCGGACUGAGUGUGGACGGGUGGUGUGGUACUGCAGGCCGCGACAAAAGCCACAGAGCCUAUGUUCCAGAGACAGACAAGAGACAAAAUUCAAAACUGCUGGAAGGAGCAUGUUCUGGCACAAAAGUUCUGAAAUGGCAAGAACUUGAUAUGCAUGAAGCUUUUGUUGCUGGAAAAGACCACGAUGGAUACUGAAAUGAUUUGAAAGACGGAGGCACCUGCCAAGACAGUGUGACUCAGAAACAUAAAAAGAAACCUGAUGACCAAGGAGCCUUCAUAACAGCUUUGAAUGAAGACCUUCAGCCCUCUUUCAUAUAAAAGAGAGAAAAAAUUUAUAUUUUUAAGUCAUUUUACUGAUAGUUUCUUUUAUUUGCAGCUGAAUUCAAUCUCCACUGAUACCAACUGGCUUGAGGAGAGGGGUGAAAAAUCAAGAACUAUUUCUGAAACACUAAGUUGAGGUAUCUAUUAGACAUCCAAAUGGACAUGUCAAAUAAACAACUGAAUAUAGAAAUCUUGUCCUAAAAUGAGAGACCAGCACUGGAGAUAUACAUUUGGGAGCUACUGGUGAGUUAAAGCUAUGGGACUGAUAAAGAUUAUAUAGAUAGAAAAGGGCCUAGUCCUGAACCCUAGGACACCCAGAUUUAGGUAUCUGCACAAGAGAAGGAGCCAGAGAAUGAGGCUGAGAAAAGGAGUCCAGUGAGGUAGUAAAAUUCAAAGAUUGUGGUUUCAUAGAUGCAAAGGAAGGAAAAUAUACUAAGAUAUAGGGAGUUGUCAAUUGUACUGAAUGCAUUCAGUAGAGAAUUGAAUUCAAUGUAGAAGGAGUACAUGGGAGGGCUUUAGUUUCCUGCAAUGUGGAAAAAUACAUAUCCUGGAAAGCCUCCCAACAGAAAACUUAGAAAUACUGGACAAAGUACAAAAAACACCUUCUUAAAUAGGUAGCUAAGCUACAAGAAACUAAGGAGAAUCCUGAAGGGUAGACAAUGAAGAGGUGUUAAAGAGGAACAAGCUGAAACUAAAACUGUUUGGUUGCCCUUGGGUAAUUUGCCAAUCACCAUUUAAAUUUUUCUUAAAGACUGAAUAGAAACAAAAAUAUUAAGUAUUUGUAAUAUAUGAAAAUAAUCAUAACAAAAUGAACACUUACAAAUACCUUUCAAGUCGCCUCUGAGCCCCUUUUACUACCCUUUCCCCUCCUUGCUAAGAGUUAACCCCUUUCCCAAGUGUUAUUACUACCUUCACUUAAUAGCUUCAUUAAAGCUGUGGCCCCAAAAAAGUUACUAUUUAUAACGUGUUCAUAGCAAGUUUUAAUCUAUGUUUAAAUGAAUUCAGUCUUUAUGUUAUUCUACAACUUCAUUUUAUUGGCUUAAUUGUAUUUUUCUGAUGUUUAUCAAUGCUGUUACAUGAAGCCACAAUUUAGUAACUGAUGAUGAAAGUAACACUGCAGUGCUGUGGGAAAAAGAUGGUUUUGUCAAUAAAUGUGCAGGCUAAUUGGAAAAUACAAAUGAAACUUAGCCCCUACCUAACCCAUCUCACAAAAAAUAGAAUGGUGGGUUUGAGAGCUAAAUGUAAAAGUUAAAACAAUCAAGGAUCUAGAAGGUAACAUCGAAAAUCUUUAUGACAACAGAGUACAAAUAUAUUUCUUAAAUUAGAUGCAAAACUUACUAGCCCUAAAAAAGAAAGAGGACCGCAUUAAAACCAGAGAUUUUUGUUCAUCAAAAGAUUACUAAGAGUGUAAAAGAGUGGAGAAAGUAUAUGCAACAGGUAUAUCCAACAAUGAGUUUGUAAUGAAGAAUAUUCAAAUAAUUUUUACAAAUUGACAAGUUUGACAACCCAAUAGAAAAAUUAGCAAGAGAUCUGAUUAAGAAUUUCACGAGAGUUUAACUAAAUGACCAAAAAUUAUAAGAAAAGGUCUUGACGUGAUUAAACAGGAGGAAAAUGCAAGUAAAAACCACAUGAGGUACACAAUAGAAUGACUGCAAUUUAAAAAUGACAAUUCCAAAUGUUGGAAAAGAUGUGGAACAACAGAAUCUGUCAUGCUGGUGGGAUAAUAAAUUGAUACAGAAACUUUGGAAAAUUCAUUGGCAGUUUGUAUUAAAGGUAAGCA
This is a long non-coding RNA of Balaenoptera musculus (blue whale), 2850 nucleotides long. RefSeq lists it as uncharacterized. Lineage: Eukaryota; Metazoa; Chordata; Mammalia; Artiodactyla; Balaenopteridae. The record is from RefSeq and is a predicted model, not a curated record. The transcript is spliced from 5 exons.